Molecule: unclassified non-coding RNA, 253 nt
Filed under: uncultured Pirellulaceae bacterium
Lineage: Bacteria; Pseudomonadati; Planctomycetota; Planctomycetia; Pirellulales; Pirellulaceae
Description: contains 16S-23S intergenic spacer region
Rfam family: Bacterial small subunit ribosomal RNA
Source: RNAcentral
GACGAACCGUCCAAACGUUAUUCGGAAUUACUGGGCUUAAAGGGUGCGUAGGCGGUGCAGUAAGUUGGGUGUGAAAUCCCUCGGCUCAACCGAGGAACUGCGCCCAAUACUGCUGUGCUGGAGGGAGACAGGGGUAAGCGGAACUGAUGGUGGAGCGGUGAAAUGCGUUGAUAUCAUCAGGAACACCGGUGGCGAAAGCGGCUUACUGGGGCUUCACUGACGCUGAGGCACGAAAGCUAGGGGAGCAAACGGG